UCGAGGAUCUUCCGCAAUGGGCGAAAGCCUGACGGAGCGACACCGCGUGCAGGAUGAAGGCCUUCGGGUUGUAAACUGCUGUCACGCACUAGGAAUCCCCUGCGGUGAAUAGCCGCAGGGUUGACUAAAGCGAGAGGAAGCACCGGCUAACUCUGUGCCAGCAGCCGCGGUAAGACAGAGGGUGCAAACGUUGUUCGGAAUCACUGGGCAUAAAGCGCACGUAGGCCGUCCACUAAGUCGAAUGUGAAAUACCCCGGCUCAACCGGGGAACUGCAUCCGAUACUGGUGGACUCGAGGAUGGUUGGGGUGAGUGGAACUCCAGGUGGAGCGGUGAAAUGCGUAGAUAUCUGGAGGAACACCGGUGGCGAAAGCGGCUCACUGGACCAUCUCUGACGCUG
RNAcentral lists this ribosomal RNA (398 nucleotides) under uncultured bacterium. RNAcentral describes it as "bacterial SSU rRNA". It matches the Rfam family "Bacterial small subunit ribosomal RNA", at positions 355 to 748 of the family's 1533-position model. The record is from RNAcentral.